UGCUCGUAGUUGGAUUUCUGGGGGUCGAGACAGGAGGGUGGCUAUGGCCACCGCCAGUCUUUUCCCUCGUCCGCCUAUUAACGGCGCUCGAGAUUGAGUUCUCGACGUCGAGCGUAGGCACUUUGAUUAUUUUUCUCUUGAGCAAAUUAUAGUGUUUCAGGCAGGCGUGCGCCGGAAUACAUUAGCAUGGAAUAUACUUACGGACCGUGUGUAGCUUGCUACAUUUCCUUAUUUGUUGGUUUCUUUAAGGACACGGAUUGAUUAAUAGGGAUAGUUGAGAGUUUUUCUCACCAGGGGAGGCAUUAGUAUUUAAUUUCCAGAGGUGAAAUUCUUUGAAAUUUUAAAGACUAACUUAUGCGAAAGCAUUUUCUUUUAAUCUGCCAAGAAUGUUUUUAUUUUAUCGAACAGAACGAAAGUUAGGGGAUCAAAGACGAUCAGAUACCGUCCUAGUCUUAACCAUAAACUUUGCCGACUAGGGAUCGGAGGGCGUGCACAUUCCGCCUCCGGCACCUUACGAGAAAUCAUAAGUAUUUUGGGUUCUGGGGGUAGUAUGGUCGCAAGGCUGAAACUUAAAGGAAUUGACGGAAGGGCACCACCAGGAGUGGAGCUUGCGGCUCAAUUUGACUCAACACGGGAAAUCUUACCAGGUCCAGACAUAGGAAGGAAAUUGACAGAUUGAUAGCUCUUUCUUGAUUCUAUGGGUUGAUUCGGUGGUGCAUGGCCGUUCUUAGUUGGUGGAGUGAUUUGUCUGGUUAAUUCCGAAUUAACGAACGAGACCUCAGCCUGCUAAAUAGUUAUCUGUCUUUUUAUGUGCUUGCACAAACCGAGACUGACUAACUUCUUAGAGGGACUUUGUGAGCAACCAGAAAGGAAGUUUGAGGCAAUAACAGGUCUGUGAUGCCCUUAGAUGUC
RNAcentral lists this ribosomal RNA (912 nucleotides) under uncultured eukaryote. RNAcentral describes it as "SSU rRNA". It matches the Rfam family "Eukaryotic small subunit ribosomal RNA", at positions 625 to 1481 of the family's 1831-position model. The record is from RNAcentral.